Molecule: ribosomal RNA, 141 nt
Filed under: uncultured eukaryote
Lineage: Eukaryota
Description: partial 18S ribosomal RNA
Rfam family: Eukaryotic small subunit ribosomal RNA
Source: RNAcentral
UGGUGGAGUGAUUUGUCUGCUUAAUUGCGAUAACGAACGAGACCUUAACCUGCUAAAUAGUUAGGCUAACCUUCAUGGUUGGUCGUCAACUUCUUAGAGGGACUAUCAAAGCUAAUUUGAUGGAAGUUUGAGGCAAUAACA